CCAAAAAAGAAUUCUUGAGACAUCUUUGAUGCAAAAUGGUGGUCUGUUAGAGCACAGGGACAGGACCCAUCGGCAGGAAGAGCUGCUGCCCCGGGGAUGUGAGGAGUGGUCUAUUAUAUACGAAAUGCUGCAUUGAGUCUCCCAUGGUAUGAAGAAGCCCAGAUGGAGAGAGUGUUCCAGUUGAGCCCAGCCUGGGCUGACUUGCCAGCUGAAAGCAACAGCAUGAGUGACCUCAGAUUUUUUCUCCCCUAACCUGAUCUCUGCUUUGAGAGGCAAAGAAUCUUGGACAUGGAGGAGUGAGAACCUAUGUGCUCAUGCUGUUCAUGUAAGAAAAGGGACAUUUACAGUCCUUCUGGCACUAGGGACAGUUUCUAUAACGUGGCAUCUUGGACCACCUCAAGCCAAGUCUUACCUGCUCG
This is a long non-coding RNA of Mustela lutreola (European mink), 419 nucleotides long. RefSeq lists it as uncharacterized. NCBI's taxonomy places the organism in Eukaryota, Metazoa, Chordata, Mammalia, Carnivora, Mustelidae. The record is from RefSeq and is a predicted model, not a curated record. The transcript is spliced from 3 exons.